RNAcentral lists this microRNA precursor (204 nucleotides) under Paramuricea clavata. The record is from RNAcentral. Lineage: Eukaryota; Metazoa; Cnidaria; Anthozoa; Malacalcyonacea; Plexauridae.
GAACUUCGUUGCAAAGUUUACAAGAUUGUUUUGCGAAGUUCAAAAGUUCAUAAUGAGAUUCACAAAUCAGUUCGUAAACUACGCAUUUGAUUGGCUUCUUUUACUUCACGGACCAAUCAGGGACUUUGUUUACAAAUUGGCUUGUGAAUUCCAAUAUGAGCUUCCAAACUUCACAACAAACUUGUGAACUUUGCAACGAAGUUC